Molecule: ribosomal RNA, 450 nt
Filed under: uncultured bacterium
Lineage: Bacteria
Description: partial 16S ribosomal RNA
Rfam family: Bacterial small subunit ribosomal RNA
Source: RNAcentral
GACGAACGCUGGCGGCGUGCCUAACACAUGCAAGUCGAACGAGAUCCAUGGGAGCUUGCUCCCGGAAGAUCUAGUGGCGAACGGGUGAGUAACACGUGAGAAACCUGCCCUGGAGUGGGGAAUAACUCGGGGAAACUCGAGCUAAUACCGCAUACCCUCGGAUGGUCGCAUGGCCGACCGAGGAAAGAUUUAUCGCUCUAGGAGGGUCUCGCGGCCUAUCAGCUAGUUGGUGGGGUAACGGCCUACCAAGGCAACGACGGGUAGCUGGUUUGAGAGAACGAUCAGCCACACUGGGACUGAGACACGGCCCAGACUCCUACGGGAGGCAGCAGUGGGGAAUCUUGGACAAUGGGGGAAACCCUGAUCCAGCCAUGCCGCGUGAGUGAUGAAGGCCUUCGGGUUGUAAAACUCUUUCGCGCACGACGAUAAUGACGGUAGUGCGAGAAGAAG